UAGAUCCACUCUUACAUUAACCAACUUUCAGAAAUCUAUUUAAAUGAAAUAUGCCUUCAAGGAGGAAAUCAACCACACAAGAUUGACUGUGAACUCUGUGAAGUCAUUACUCUUUAUAUUUUGUAAAGCACAUUGAUAUUUCAUUAUAAUAAUUUAUUUUAAGUCCGAUGAGAAUAAAACCAAGUCUUUAAUCAUGUUUGAUUUCUUAAGAAAGAGGGCAAGAGAGGUGAACAAGGGUCAGUUUCAGAGUGACUUUUUCUUGUCUAAUCACACAGAGGUUACAAUCCUACCCCCUGCCUCUGGCAAAGGCAUCAUUAUUUCAGAGGAAAAAGUAUACUGUGCAAAUCACAUUGAAAAAUCAGUUUUGUGGUGGAAUCUGGAUCAGUCAGGAAAUUUGACCAAAGCAUGUCUGACAUAGUGGUGAGGAGAUUUUGUCACAUUGGCAAGGACAGGUAUUCUGAGUGUGGAGAACAAUCAACAAUGGAGAGAAACACGGAACACAAUUUUUUUGUUAGUAUGAUGGCAAGAAAAUGUUAAUUUGGAGGGUUUUAUUGCUUAUUAGUCACGGGCAAAAAGGCAGCACUUUUUAGAUGUUUAGAUGUGGGGCAUUCUGGUCUAGCCAGACAUAUUUAAUUUUCUGCAAAAGAAAUUAGGGAAGAGAGUUCUCUGGAAGGGACAAAGGAAGUAGGGAGCAGAUCACAAGGAACAUAUCUGUGGUGUGAUUUUACAAAAUGAGCCACCAGCAUAUGCAAUUUACCUCUAAACUGUUACAUAUUUGUCCUUGGUUGUACAGAUGUGCUAAGCAUUUAAAACUGGAGGACCAGUCCAUUUUUACAUUUCACUCAUUGAUAUGGGGGGUUUUACAAGGUAGGAACAAGGAAGAACCCUUCACAGCCAGACACUGCAAUACAGGAAGCUUUGGUACAUGUCAUCAUUUCAGAUAUAAGUCUUGAAACGUGGGAAAAUUGCCAUUUGGAAGAGAGUUUUCUUUUGUAGAGAUGUAUUAGCAGAAACUGGAAAGAUAGGUUUCAUAAAAUAACCACAAG
This 1046-nucleotide long non-coding RNA is filed under the name Cyanistes caeruleus (blue tit). Its description in RNAcentral is "lncRNA (ENSCCEG00000009578.1)". The record is from RNAcentral. Lineage: Eukaryota; Metazoa; Chordata; Aves; Passeriformes; Paridae.